AUUGAACGCUGGCGGCAGGCCUAACACAUGCAAGUCGAACGGCAGCACAGAAGAGCUUGCUCUUUGGGUGGCGAGUGGCGGACGGGUGAGUAAUGUCUGGGAAACUGCCCGAUGGAGGGGGAUAACUACUGGAAACGGUAGCUAAUACCGUAUAACGUCGCAAGACCAAAGUGGGGGACCUUCGGGCCUCACACCAUCGGAUGUGCCCAGAUGGGAUUAGCUAGUAGGUGGGGUAAUGGCUCACCUAGGCGACGAUCCCUAGCUGGUCUGAGAGGAUGACCAGCCACACUGGAACUGAGACACGGUCCAGACUCCUACGGGAGGCAGCAGUGGGGAAUAUUGCACAAUGGGCGCAAGCCUGAUGCAGCCAUGCCGCGUGUAUGAAGAAGGCCUUCGGGUUGUAAAGUACUUCCAGCGGGGAGGAAGGCGGUGAGGUUAAUAACCUUGCCGAUUGACGUUACCCGCAGAAGAAGCACCGGCUAACUCCGUGCCAGCCGCCGCGGUAA
RNAcentral lists this ribosomal RNA (506 nucleotides) under uncultured bacterium. RNAcentral describes it as "partial 16S ribosomal RNA". It matches the Rfam family "Bacterial small subunit ribosomal RNA", at positions 30 to 523 of the family's 1533-position model. The record is from RNAcentral.